UCAUUCAAUUUAUUGCCACAAAAUAAAC
RNAcentral lists this small RNA (28 nucleotides) under Bombyx mori (domestic silkworm). RNAcentral's name for it is "ovarian small RNA-26326". Lineage: Eukaryota; Metazoa; Arthropoda; Insecta; Lepidoptera; Bombycidae. The record is from RNAcentral.